Molecule: ribosomal RNA, 750 nt
Filed under: Triticum aestivum (bread wheat)
Lineage: Eukaryota; Viridiplantae; Streptophyta; Magnoliopsida; Poales; Poaceae
Description: partial small subunit ribosomal RNA
Source: RNAcentral
AUGCUCGCUGUCUGGGCGUGGACGGCGUCGCCGGCUUGCGUCCCGCGCGUCAAUUGGGUCACCCUUCCUGCGCGUGCGGGCGCCCAGCCGGCCUUCGGGCGUCGCGGACUGGAGCGGCGGGUCAUCAUUCACCUGUCGAUCCACGAGGACCCAACACAAGGACCAAGGGUGGUUUCCAAGGGCUAUGACUUCACGAAAGGCGUCGUCGACGGUGAGCGGCAGGCUCGCGAUCCGCGAGAGUGCAUCUCCAGGCCCGUCAACAAUCACCGCAGUGACCGCAAUGACGACCGCGACAGGCGCCGCGAUGACCACGACCGCAGGGGCCGCGACGGCUCACGCAACAGGGAGGGGUGGGGCGCGCGCAUCAGGCGCAACCUCUCCAGGAAGCCAUGGGACUCCUCGCGCGAUCAGGGCCGCGACAAUGGGCGCGACGGCCGCCGUGAUGACGAUGCUGGUCGCGACCGCGAUGGUCGCCGGCGCUCUGCCGUUGUGCCGGCCGUCCUGGCGGGCUCUGGCUCCUCUAGCGCCGAGGCGGCCCGCGCGACUAAGAUGCUUCCUCUCCUUGCCGAGCCACUGGACGUUGGGCGCGGCCGCAGCACCUCUCGGCACCCCUCACCGCGUGCUGCCAGGCGUCGCUCCCAGGAGGCCCUCACGCCACCGGUGUCGCUGCCACUGUCACCUACUAUCGGUGUCAAAACCGGCGGAUCUCGGGUAGGGGGUCCCGAAAUGUGCGUCUUGGCCGGAUGGUAA